GGCCGAAUAGCUCAGUUGGUUAGAGCGUCGAGCUAAUAUCUGAUUAUGUCAGUUGUGACUCGAAGGUCUUGGGUUCGACCCCCACUUUGGCCA
This is a non-coding RNA of Hysterangium stoloniferum, 93 nucleotides long. Lineage: Eukaryota; Fungi; Basidiomycota; Agaricomycetes; Hysterangiales; Hysterangiaceae. The record is from the annotation of a GenBank genome assembly.